Molecule: long non-coding RNA, 758 nt
Filed under: Rattus norvegicus (Norway rat)
Lineage: Eukaryota; Metazoa; Chordata; Mammalia; Rodentia; Muridae
Description: long non-coding RNA NONRATT015660
Source: RNAcentral
GAGUGUGUGUAGUCAUGUUCGUAGACACACCAACACAGCACACUCGUACACAGCCACAUAUACACACAUGCACACAUAUACACACAUGCACACAUAUACACACAUGCACACAUAUACACACAUGCAUGAACACGCACACACACAGGCACAUAUGCACUCAUGCACACAUACAUGAACAUGCAUAAACACGGGCACAUAUAUAUACACACAUGCACACAUACGCACACAUACAUGAAUACACACACACAACACACAGAAACACAUACACACACGCAUCAACACAUGCAUGCACACAUGCGCACACACUCUUAUGUGGGCCAGCCAAGAGUGGCUUUCUUCCUCCCUCAAGUUCUCCUGUCUAACAUUCCUCUGGUCUUAUCAGGAGAGGAGCUCCUGGCCUUCAGAGUGAGUGUUGUCAAUGCAAGAGACAGUCAGUUAAUUAGAGACAGCGUCUCCAUGAAUAACCAUGCAAAAUGUUUACUGCUGGGGUUCCAAUAGCAACAGUCUAUGCGAUCUCUUUCUUUCCCUUUUAAUCCAUUAUGUAAACCUUUUAAAGAGUAGCCUAGGAAACAAAUUCUGAAGAGUGUUUUUCAGCCUCAUAUAUUAGAGUAGAUCAGCAAUUUUCAGGUUAAGGACAACUUCGGUUUUCGUGAUUAGACGGGAGGGGGCCAAGCAGAGUUGACGCUAACCUACGAUACACAGGGCCCCUACAACAAAAGAUUACGGUGCUGAGAGUAAAAUUCCCUAAGUCAAGUGGA